AUGAAGUGGCGCCAAGCUUCUGGCAUUCUCUGUGACAAGAGAGUGCCACAAAAGCUAAAAGGCAAGUUCUAUAGGACGGCGGUUCGACCCGCAACGUUGUAUGGCGCGGAGUGUUGGCCGACUAAAAGGCGACAUGUUCAACAGUUAGGUGUGGCGGAGAUGCGUAUGUUGAGAUGGAUGUGUGGCCACACGAGGAAGGAUCGAGUCCGGAAUGAUGAUAUACGAGAUAGAGUUGGGGUAGCACCAAUUGAGGAGAAGCUUGUCCAACAUCGUUUGAGAUGGUUUGGGCAUAUUCAGCGCAGGCCUCUAGAAGCUCCAGUGCAUAGCGGACGGCUAAAGCGUGCGGAGAAUGUCAAGAGAGGGCGGGGUCGACCGAUUUUG
RNAcentral lists this ribosomal RNA (381 nucleotides) under Triticum aestivum (bread wheat). RNAcentral's name for it is "partial small subunit ribosomal RNA". Lineage: Eukaryota; Viridiplantae; Streptophyta; Magnoliopsida; Poales; Poaceae. The record is from RNAcentral.